Dactylellina haptotyla CBS 200.50 is the source of this 71-nucleotide transfer RNA. It matches the Rfam family "tRNA". From Rfam's summary of the family: Transfer RNA (tRNA) molecules are approximately 80 nucleotides in length. Their secondary structure includes four short double-helical elements and three loops (D, anti-codon, and T loops). Lineage: Eukaryota; Fungi; Ascomycota; Orbiliomycetes; Orbiliales; Orbiliaceae. The record is from Rfam.
GUGGCUAUAGGUUAAUGGUAGACUGAUCAGCUUCCACCUGAUUUGUGCUGAUUCGAUUUCAGCUAGCCACA